AGCGGCGAACGGGUGAGUAACGCGUGAGCAACCUACCUUAGUUACUGGGAUAGCCCGAGGAAACUCGGAUUAAUACCGGAUAUUCUUAUUUAAUCACAUGAUUUUUUAAGGAAAGGUCAGCCGAACUAAGAUGGGCUCGCGUUCUAUCAGCUAGUUGGUAGGGUAACGGCCUAACAAGGCUACGACGGAUAGCUGGUCUGAGAGGACGAUCAGCCACACUGGGACUGAGACACGGCCCAGACUCCUACGGGAGGCUGCAGCAGGGAAUAUUGUGCAAUGAACGAAAGUUUGACACAGCGACACCGCGUGUGGGAUGACGGAUCUAGGUUUGUAAACCACUUUCAGGAGGGAAGAAAAUGACGGUACCUCCACAAGAAGCCCCGGCCAACUACGUGCCAGCAGCCGCGGUAAUACGUAGGGGGCGAGCGUUGUCCGGAUUUAUUGGGCGUAAAGAGCUCGUAGGCGGUUCAACAAGUCGGUCGUGAAAGUUCAGGGCUCAACCCUGAAAUGUCGAUCGAUACUGUUGUGACUAGGAUACGGCAGAGGUGAGUGGAAUUCCGAGUGUAGCGGUGAAAUGCGUAGAUAUUCGGAGGAACACCAAUUGCGAAGGCAGCUCACUGGGCCGCUAUCGACGCUGAGGAGCGAAAGCUAGGGGAGCAAACAGGAUUAGAUACCCUGGUAGUCCUAGCUGUAAACGAUGGAUACUAGAUGUAGGAAUUGGUUUAACGAUUUCUGUAUC
Molecule: ribosomal RNA, 739 nt
Filed under: uncultured marine bacterium
Lineage: Bacteria
Description: bacterial SSU rRNA
Rfam family: Bacterial small subunit ribosomal RNA
Source: RNAcentral